CAGAGAGAGAGAGAGGGGAAGAAAACGACCCGAGGGAAGCAGUACGAGGAGGAUAGGUGGGCCAACGUGAUUGGAGAUAUCCUUGAGAACAGAGGGGAGUAUGCAGAGGCGCUCAAGUGGCUGCGGGAUCAGUCGCAGAAAAUUUCCUCCAAGCCCAAAAGCAGCUAUCUAAGUCCUACUAGUGGCAGCCCAUUACUCCUCAGUGAAAUGUCGUAUACUCUCCUGCACUUCAAGUCCUAAACCGCUACAGUUUCCUCCAACAAACCUCAUCAUGCAAUUCCAACAACAUCUUAGGGAAAUUGGGAAUUAGUUGAUCAAAUGCAGGAGCUCAAGCAUGAGCAGAAGUUGAGAAUCCAAGCCAGGUAGCAAAUACGGAGAAUCCAUGUGUCCCAAACGGUUGGAAGGAAUCUUGGCGAGUGGGAGAAAAAAAGAUCAAAAAGGAAAAUUCGGGGGCUUUGCUUGGUUCUCAACGACGCAGACUACUCCCAGCCGAACUCCCAAAUGCCCAGAAGUUUAUUCCUUUCCCAUUUCUAUAGUUUAUUUUUGAAUCCAAAGACUUCUUGGCUGGAUUCAAAAUCCAUUCUUGGGUUAGAUCACUUUAUCAUUCCUAAUUCAGCAGCUUUGAGUUUCUGUUUGUUUUACAUUUACGUUGGAUAUAGUUGUGAUUCUGUUGAGACUUGUCUUAAGAUUCAUGGAUUUUAUUUUUCUAUACAUAUGGUCGGUUGUAAUUUCUGAUUGGAGUACUGUUGUUGGGCAAAUUUGGAUCUUUAUUGAUGGGCCCCAAGGCGGACCAAGUCUUAAGUAU
Molecule: long non-coding RNA, 805 nt
Organism: Carya illinoinensis
Lineage: Eukaryota; Viridiplantae; Streptophyta; Magnoliopsida; Fagales; Juglandaceae
Exons: 2
Source: RefSeq, a predicted model, not a curated record